RNAcentral lists this long non-coding RNA (3530 nucleotides) under Sus scrofa (pig). RNAcentral's name for it is "lncRNA (ENSSSCG00035056362.1)". The record is from RNAcentral. Lineage: Eukaryota; Metazoa; Chordata; Mammalia; Artiodactyla; Suidae.
GGGCUGCACCCACGGAUAUGGAAGUUUCCAGGCUAUGGGUUGAAUGGGAGCUGUAGCUGCCGGCCUACACCACAACCACAGCAGCAAGAGAUCUGAGCCACAUCUGUGACCUUCACCACAGAUCAUCAAAUUCUUAACCCACUGAGCGAGGCCAGGGAUCGAACCCACAACCUCAUGGAUACUAGUCGGAUUCAUUUCCACUGCACCACAACAGGGACUCAUGUGUUUUCUAUAAUUACUAUAAAGACUCUUAAAAUUUAAGAGAUCAAAACAAUGCCAAGUCCCAGGUCAGAAAAUAUUCUUUUUUUUCCUUCUCAAAUAUGCUUAUUUGAUCAUCCUCAACUUUAUACCAAGAUUAUCUGACUAAGAGCUGACUCCCUAAUUCAAAAUUCUAGAUGGAGUGGUUACUUCUUUCUAAACUUAAAAUUAACCAAAGAAAUGAAAAAAGGAAACCACAUAAAACUUUUCUAUGUACAAAAAAAGAACUAAAAUUAAAAGGAAAAAAAAGCCAACAAAGUAAAGGAAAUACACCAAUGGCAACACUACAGAAAUGAUCCUAAACCUGAAGCUAGUACAACCAACUACAGAGGCUAAAUCUGGCCAGCACAAGCACAUGCUCAAGAAAACAAAAUAACUACUAAAAUGUUCAGAACAUUAUAGUAUCUCCAAACUAUAAACGCAAAUAUUCAUCAACAGCAGAAUGGAUAGACAAACUACCACUGCACACAAUGGAAUAAAGUGAACAAUGUGGAUGAAUGGCACAAACUUAAAGUUAAGCCAAAGAAGCCAGUCACAGAAUACAUACUCUAUGAGUCCCUUUAUGAACACACAAAAACAGCCAAAGCUAAUCUAUGUUUUUGUUUUGUUUCGUUUUUUGUCUUUUUAGGCCCACAUCCGCAGCAUCUGGAGGUUCCCAGGCUAGGGGUCCAAUUGGAGCUGUAGCCACCGGCCUAUAACACAGCCACAGCAACACAGGAUCUGAGCCACAUCUGCGACCUACACCACAGCUCACAGCAACGCUGGAUCCUUAACCCACUGACUGAGGCCAAGGAUAGAACCUGUGUCCUAAUGGAUGCUGGUCAGAUUUGUUUCCUUUGAGCCACAACGUGAACUCCAAAAAACUCAUCUAUGUUGUUAAAAAGUCAGAGAUGGGUUACCCUUUGGGAAGACACUGUAGGUUAACAGGGCAUGAGGGGAGCUGGCUUCUGUUUCUUGAUCUGGGUGCUGGUUACAUAGGCCUACUGAGUUAAUGAAAACUGAGUUACCAUUUAUGACAGGUAUACUUCCGCACCUGUUACACAUCAAUAAAAAUUUCCAGUUGGAAAAAGAUAAUUCUCGGUGGAAAACAAGCACAUGAAAAGGUCAUUAGGGAAACGCAAAUCAAAAUCACAAUGAGAUUCCACUUCACUCACACUCGCUAAGAUGGCCAUAAUAAAAAGCAGAAAUAUCAAGUGCUGGCAGAGGAUGUGGGGAAAUUGGAACCUUCACACACUGUUGGUGGGAAUGUAAAAUGGUACAGCUGCGGAAACCAGUUUGGGGGUCCUCCGUCGGUUAAACAUAGAAUUACCACGUAGCCCAGCAAUUCCACUCCUAGGUAUAGGCCCCAAGAAGCUGAAAAUGGGUACUCAAAUCCUUGCACAUAAAUCUACCUACUGACAAUAGCCACAAGGUAGAAAUAACCCAAAUGUCUAUUUACAGAUGACUGGACAUUCAAAAUGUGGUAUAUCCAAAAACAUAUCAAACAAUGGAAUAAAAGGGAAUAAAGCUAGUAAGAGCAUUCCUGCCGUGGCUCAGUGGAAACGAAUUUGACUAGCAUCCAUGAGGACGCAGGUUCGAUCCUUGGCCUUGCUCAGUGGGUUAAGGAUCCGGUGUUGCUGUGGCUGCGGUGUAGGGUGCAGACAUGGCCCGGAUCUAGCGUUGCUGUGGCUGUGACGUAGGCCAGCAGCUACAGAUCUAAUUCGACCCCUAGCCUGGGAAGUUCCAUAUGCUGCUAGUGCUGCCCUAAAAAAAAAAAAGACAAAAAUAAUAAUGAUAAUGAUAAUAAAUAAAAAUAAAAGAAGCCCGGAGUUCCCGUCAUGGCUCAGUGGUUAACGAAUCCAACUAGGAACCAUGAGGUUGUGGGGUUCGAUCCCUGGCCUUGCUCACUGGGUUAAGGAUCUGGCGUUGCCAUGAGCUGUGGUGUAGGUUACAGACGCGGCUUGGAUCCCAAGUUGCUGUGGCUGUGGCAUAGGCUGGCGGCUACAGCUCCAAAUGGACCCCUAGCCUGGGAACCUCCAUAUGCCAUGGGAGCGGCCCUAGAAAAGGCAAAAAGACAAAAAAAUAAAAGAAGCCAGACACAAAAGGCCACAUAGUCUAUGAUUUCAUUUAUAUGUAAUGCCCAGAAUAAGAACAUUUAUAGAGACAGAAAGUAUAUUAGUGGUUGUCAGGGGUGGGAAGUGGGGAGUGACUGCUCAAUCUCAGUGGGUACUGGGCUUCCACUUGGGGAGAUAAAAAAGUUCUAGAACUAAAAAGCGGUAAUAGUUGUGCAACGUGGUGCAUGUGCUUAAUGCCAAUAAAUCUGUGACUUUAAAAUAGUUAUCAUCGUAAGUUUACUGUUAUAUAUACUUAAUUACAAUUUUAAUUUUUUUUUCAAAAAAAAAAAAAAAAGAUAAUGAGGCAAGCCAGGAUGUAGUUAAGAAUUCUCAAUCCACCAGUAAUUGCACAGUAUUGUAGCAAUAAGUAAUUCAUAUCUUGGCCCCAGUUCAUAAUUCUACUUCUGAGAACCAAUGUAAGAAAAAAAAAGCUUUCAAUCCAAAAGAGGGAGGAAGAAAGGAAGGCAGGGAGGGAGAGAAGAAAAGCAAUCUGAGCAUCAAAUUAUCAGGGAAUGGAAAAAUCAAGAUACAUUUACAAAAUUAAUUAUAUGAAAAAACUCCAAACGUUUAUGAAAAGCAUUCAUUGUGAAAUAGGGGGAAGGCUUAUAUUAUGAAGCAAAUGUGAUAAAAGCAGAAAAGAAAUUCUAUAAACACAAGCCAAACUGUACAUCAAAACAAGACUCAAAGGAGGUUUACAAUGGGUUUGCUAUGGUGACGGUAUUUUCUUUCUGUUUUCUGCCCCGUGAAACCAAGCAAGCUCAUUCUUAUCUCAAGGCCUCUGGACCUAAUGUACCUUCCAUCUGGAACGCUCCUCAGCGCUCCAGGACUGCCUCCCUCAUCUUUCGCGUCAACUCAAACUUCAGCCCCUAAGAAAGACCGUCCCUCCUCCCUCCGCCUUUCCCCACCACACAUUCUUUGCUGCUUUGCACUUAUUACAACCUGAGAAUAACUGGACUACUGAUUUACUGGUACACUCAUCUUUUUCCCCCAUCCCCUAUUGGAAUGUGAGGCCCCUGAGUACAACCUUACGGGGGCUCCCUUGUAUGUUAUUGCUGCUUUUAAUUUCCCUUUGUAUUAACUGCUGUCAGUGUGAUUAGCAGCGUCUCGGCUGCUUCCCCUUGGGUUUAUCCUGUACAGAACUCUACGUGCUUCCUGAGCCUGCUGACUACUUCCUUUCCC